RNAcentral lists this long non-coding RNA (735 nucleotides) under Elaeis guineensis (African oil palm). RNAcentral's name for it is "long non-coding RNA (EGUI_LNC031026)". The record is from RNAcentral. Lineage: Eukaryota; Viridiplantae; Streptophyta; Magnoliopsida; Arecales; Arecaceae.
AUCAUUUAUUUUGCUAUACAUAUUUAUUACUUCCACCAUACACUUAGUUUACUUUAAGAAAAAAUUACAGGAACAACCCCUCAAUUUUAGUCCAAUUUUAUUUAUAUCCCUUCGAUUUUAAAAUGUGUCAAACUAGUUCUUCAAAUUUUUGAAAUAUUUCAAUAUGAUCCUACUAUUUAUUUACCAACUAACGAUAUUAAUAUUUUACUUUAAUAAAUAAAAAUAUCCUUUGCUCAUAUUGAAUUGAUCACCGGAAAGGAAGAGAUGGAGGUGGAGAGAGUUAUCAUGGAGGGGGAGGAUGGGAUCGCGGAGGUCAAUGUGGAAGGAGAAGACGGCGUCAGACACCUUAUAGGUGGGAUUGGAGGAGGAGGAAGAGGAGGAGAAAAGGUUAGGAGGAAGAGGAUGAGAAAGAAAGGAAAGCACUCAUGGAUGGGCUUAGAGGAGGAGGAAGAUGAUGAGGAGAAGUGGGUAAGGAAAAAGAAGAAGAGGAAGAAAGAGAGGUUGUUGGCAAGGAAGGGUGGAGGUGGAGGAGGAGGAGAUGGGAAGGAGAGAUGGGCGGGUUUGGAGGAGGAGAAGUGGGAGAGGAAAAAAGAGAGAAAGAGGAGGAAGGAGGUUCAUCGAUGAGGUGAGCGGAGGUGAAGGGAGCCACCAUAGAUGAGACAGUUCAUAAGUGGGCUUGGAGGAGGAGGAAAAGAAGGUGGAGAAGAAGUAGAUGAAGAGAAAGAGAAGGGGGAA